GCCCAGAUUCCAUCCCCUCUACGCCGCCGGCCCCUCUCUCUCGCCCAGAUCCCGCCCCAAUCCCGCGUCGCCGCUCCCUGCGCAGAGCCGCAGACUGCCGCAGGCAUCGCUGCCCUCCUUCGCCACCGGCCCCUUAGCCCACACCUCGCCUCUGCCGUGGCCGGGAUCAAUGGAUUGAUGGAUCCACCUCGUCUUCGACCGCGAUUGGGAUCGUGAUCCGCGGAUCCAUAUCUCCUCCUCGGCCGCCGAGCAUCUCCGCUUGGCGUCGUCCAGGCGCCGGAGGGGCGGGACCCGAGCGGGCGGCGAACAACUAGGAGCGCCUCGUGCAGGCCGCACCACCUCCGCGUCGGCGGGGCAGACGGGGGGCUGGGCCUAGCCGCUGCUGUGCCGGCCUUGCUCGGCCGGACCACCAACAUCAAGCAGAUCCUGCAGGCAGUCGACGACAUCGAGGCAACCCAAUCCCCACCAACUCAAUCUCCAGGGUUUGAGUUCGACAGCAGCAGCUGCUCCACCCCGGCCUCAAUUCCAACGAUCACGAGAGCUGCACAUCAUUAUAUUUGAGAAGAAAUAGUAUAACAAGACUCAUACAUAGAAGAGCCUUUAACAAUUCCUCAGGUGGUCUUCCAGGAAUGGACACAUUUUCUCUGCUAUGGAGCUCAAACUGAAGCAGCUUACUACGUCAAGUCUGAAACUAAAGUGCAUGAUCAUUGCACACGGUAAGGCAGCUUCAGAAUUACCCAUUUAUGUCACAUUUCAAAUGAAGCUCAAUUACAGUUGCUGGGAUAGAACUGGGCAUGGGAGAGCUACCAGGUGAUCCAUGUCCGUGUGUGGCUACAGACAACAAGGAGCAAAAAAUUGUUUUGGAGAGCUUUCUCUUUAAGUCCACAAGAUCGAAAUUGGACAGUUUGGAGAGUCUCAUUCAACCUUAAAUCAGCUCCUAGGCGUGAAACUAAAUAAUUGCAAGACCAGGCUUAAGAGCGUGUUUUUUUGUCUCUAAAUUUUUAAUUGAUUGAUGGCGAUGACUUGAUUGCUUCCAUCAGAACACUUUCUUCCUACUAUUUCUUGCCUAGAGUUUGAUUAUUUCUGUAUUGAAGGUAAAGACUCAGGAAUUAAGAGGAGGAGAUCACUGCAGGCAUCCACAAUCCAAGACAAAUAGGUGUCCAGUUCUCAUGAAGGUUAUGUCGUUUUUUUGUAUACUAAAAUGCACCGGUAUACGAGAUAGCUGCAUAUUGCACAAACUAGGAGGGUGCUUCACUUUCUUUGGUGUUCUGUUUUCAUGAUGUACACGGAAGCACGCUAAGCAAAAAUAUUAUAUAUAUUGUUUUUUU
Panicum virgatum (switchgrass) is the source of this 1328-nucleotide long non-coding RNA. RefSeq lists it as uncharacterized. The transcript has 8 exons. The record is from RefSeq and is a predicted model, not a curated record. Lineage: Eukaryota; Viridiplantae; Streptophyta; Magnoliopsida; Poales; Poaceae.